UGCCGGAUAGCUCAGCUGGAAGAGCGCCUGACUCUGGAUCAGGAGGUCCUAGGUUCGAACCCUAGUCCGGCAGCCA
This 76-nucleotide transfer RNA is filed under the name Pseudomonadota bacterium. RNAcentral's name for it is "Proteobacteria bacterium (cold seep metagenome) tRNA-Gln". It matches the Rfam family "tRNA". From Rfam's summary of the family: Transfer RNA (tRNA) molecules are approximately 80 nucleotides in length. Their secondary structure includes four short double-helical elements and three loops (D, anti-codon, and T loops). Further hydrogen bonds mediate the characteristic L-shaped molecular structure. tRNAs have two regions of fundamental functional importance: the anti-codon, which is responsible for specific mRNA codon recognition, and the 3' end, to which the tRNAs corresponding amino acid is attached (by aminoacyl-tRNA synthetases). tRNAs cope with the degeneracy of the genetic code in two manners: having more than one tRNA (with a specific anti-codon) for a particular amino acid; and 'wobble' base-pairing, i.e. permitting non-standard base-pairing at the 3rd anti-codon position. The record is from RNAcentral. Lineage: Bacteria; Pseudomonadati; Pseudomonadota.